AUUUUCCAUAUAUGGUCUGACACAGGCCCUGGACACUUAGUAUUUCUCUUCCUUUUUGUUUCAAACUUUUUAUUUUGAAAUAACGUGAAACUGAUAGGGAAGUUGUAGAAACCAUACAAAGAACUCCUCUGUGCUCUUAACCCAGGUGCACUGAUUGGUACUUGGUGUUUUUAGAAAACAGGACGGGCCCGUGACAAGGCUGUGAGGGUUCAGCAGAUCGUCUGUGUGGCCUGUGCACUGGGAUUCAGGGAAUGCGGUCGCAAGUUGCAUAACUUUUGGGGGACCUGUCACACACAGUUACCAUGGGCUGGGUUUGACAUUAAACACAUUCUCCAGCUCAUUUGCAAUUCUUGCCUUCUUCCUUCUGGCACUCACCCAUGAGAAACCUCGGUUCAAGGAGAAACCUCUGUUUGAAGCCUCUGCAGCUGGUCGCCCACAUCUUCCUCAAUAUAAUGGGGCUCCAGAGACUCCACAGGCCGCGGAAUCCACCCGGAUGACCAGCGGCGCACAGUCAUGGCCCUUGUCACACGCCCGGGAUUCAGCAGACAACCGACUCGGUAACGUGCUGAGCAGUGUCCGGCUCACUGUCCGUGCUACAGAACUCUUAGCUGCUAUUACUCUAUUACCAUGACGUACAGAGUUUCACAACCUCUACACUAUUGACGUUUUGGCCCAGAUGAUCUUGGCUGUGUGGGGGCUGUCCUGUGCAUUGUGAGAUGCUGUGCAGCAUCAUUUCUUCCACUCACUGGACGCCGGUAACACUCCUCCAGUUGGGACAACUGAAAAUGUUUCCAGACAGUAUCCAAAUGCCCCCUAAGGGACAAAAUUCCCCCCAUCUCCCAUUGAGAACCACUUCUCUAGUAAUGAGGUUAUUCUAAAAAUUUUAACCAACUUAUCCAUAUCUCAAAUUAAUCAGUGUCUUUAUUCUUCUCUGAAACACAACAGG
This 946-nucleotide long non-coding RNA is filed under the name Equus caballus (horse). RNAcentral describes it as "lncRNA (ENSECAG00000057258.1)". The record is from RNAcentral. Lineage: Eukaryota; Metazoa; Chordata; Mammalia; Perissodactyla; Equidae.